Molecule: ribosomal RNA, 426 nt
Filed under: uncultured Desulfovibrionaceae bacterium
Lineage: Bacteria; Pseudomonadati; Thermodesulfobacteriota; Desulfovibrionia; Desulfovibrionales; Desulfovibrionaceae
Description: bacterial SSU rRNA
Rfam family: Bacterial small subunit ribosomal RNA
Source: RNAcentral
GGGGAAUAUUGCGCAAUGGGCGAAAGCCUGACGCAGCGACGCCGCGUGAGGGAUGAAGGUUCUCGGAUCGUAAACCUCUGUCAGAAGGGAAGAAACCGCACCGUGCUAAUCAGCGGUGCAUUGACGGUACCUUCAAAGGAAGCACCGGCUAACUCCGUGCCAGCAGCCGCGGUAAUACGGAGGGUGCAAGCGUUAAUCGGAAUUACUGGGCGUAAAGCGCACGUAGGCUGCUUUGUAAGUCAGGGGUGAAAUCCCACGGCUAAACCGUGGAACUGCCUUUGAUACUGCUUAGGUUGAUUCCGGGAGGGGGUGGCGAAUUUCAAGGUGUAGGGGUGAAACCCGUAGAUAUCGGGAGGAACAUCUGGGGCGAGGGCGGCCACCUGGACCGGUAUUGACGCUGAGGUGCGAAAGCGUGGGGAGCAAACA